UGCCGGGUAGCUCAACGGGUAGAGCGCAGCACUUUGACUGCUGCGGUUAUGAGUUCAAGUCUCAUCCCGGUUGCCA
RNAcentral lists this transfer RNA (76 nucleotides) under Oleiphilus messinensis. RNAcentral describes it as "tRNA-Gln". It matches the Rfam family "tRNA". From Rfam's summary of the family: Transfer RNA (tRNA) molecules are approximately 80 nucleotides in length. Their secondary structure includes four short double-helical elements and three loops (D, anti-codon, and T loops). Lineage: Bacteria; Pseudomonadati; Pseudomonadota; Gammaproteobacteria; Oceanospirillales; Oleiphilaceae. The record is from RNAcentral.